This is a long non-coding RNA of Vombatus ursinus (common wombat), 223 nucleotides long. RefSeq lists it as uncharacterized. The transcript has 4 exons. The record is from RefSeq and is a predicted model, not a curated record. NCBI's taxonomy places the organism in Eukaryota, Metazoa, Chordata, Mammalia, Diprotodontia, Vombatidae.
AGACGAUCUAGCCUGGUCAUUACAACCAAAAUCUUCUGGGGAGGAAAAGCAGAGACUGAGAGAGGCCUGUCCAGAAAGCACAUCAUAGAAGGCCUGAAAGCCUCUUUGGAACGGCUCCAGUUAGAGUACGUGGACGUGGUGUUCGCCAACAGACCCGACCCUAACACUCCCAUGGAAGGGGACCCAUUUAGUUCUUCCAAGUCAAGAACAUUCAUCAUAGAAG